AAAUAAUUGAUACAUAUAGGUGUUUAAUCCUCAGGAUUAAACUUAAUAGGGAAGCUGGGUGAAAAUCCUACACGGUCCCGCCACUGUGAUAGGGAGCCUCUUAUGAAUAAUACCACUGGGUAACCGGGAAGGUAUAAGAUGGCGAUGAACUUAAGUCAGGAGACCUGCCUAUAUGAAUACACCGUU
This 186-nucleotide non-coding RNA is filed under the name Caldanaerobius fijiensis. RNAcentral also lists the same sequence under 1 other name. The record is from RNAcentral. Lineage: Bacteria; Bacillati; Bacillota; Clostridia; Thermoanaerobacterales; Thermoanaerobacteraceae.